GGGAAUAUAGUUCAGUGGUAGAAAACUUGCUUGGCAUGCAUGAGAUCCUGGAUUUGAUCUCCAGCACCACUA
RNAcentral lists this transfer RNA (72 nucleotides) under Cavia porcellus (domestic guinea pig). It matches the Rfam family "tRNA". Rfam says of the family: Transfer RNA (tRNA) molecules are approximately 80 nucleotides in length. Their secondary structure includes four short double-helical elements and three loops (D, anti-codon, and T loops). The record is from Rfam by way of RNAcentral. Lineage: Eukaryota; Metazoa; Chordata; Mammalia; Rodentia; Caviidae.